Xiphophorus hellerii (green swordtail) is the source of this 802-nucleotide long non-coding RNA. RefSeq lists it as uncharacterized. The transcript is spliced from 2 exons. NCBI's taxonomy places the organism in Eukaryota, Metazoa, Chordata, Actinopteri, Cyprinodontiformes, Poeciliidae. The record is from RefSeq and is a predicted model, not a curated record.
AGUACAGCUUGAAUGACUUGGAGGAACAGCCUGGAUGACAUGAAGACACACAAGAGAGGAAAAACAUAAAUAUCUGUGACAAUAAAAAGGGAAGUAGACAGACUACAGCAGAGAAUACGUAGAACAGUAACGCCCAAUGCUCGGAGACAAAAGCUAAAUUAUUCCACAAGUCUUUGGUGCAACAAUGUCUUCAGUACAAGUUGAUUAACGGCCUCAUCUGGUGUAGCAACACAUGUGGACGUCAGCCCGACGCAGCAGGAACGUGUCCGUUUUAGUGACACAAAGACGGUGAAGAAGCAUCCUCCUCCUCGCACAUAAACUAAUCCUCCGCCUCGCCACCAUCUAAUCUCCAUGAAAACACCUCUAAAUAUAAAAAUACCAGCAGACCAUAUGUCCUCGACACGAACACUCAUAAAACAGGUUGAUGUCUCUCCCAGACACAAACAGUUCCCAUCCUUUUUUCUUUUCUUUUUUUACAAUAACUGCCCAGCUCUGUCAUAAAGACCAUCCAGGCAUGGCGGCGUAGGUGUCAUGACCCCACGGUCACCAUGGUGAGGCCCCUCCUCCUUAAUGUCCCCCUGUCUUGUUACUAUUGAACAGACAUGCAUCAAUCAAUUGAAAUCCAAAAUAGCCAACUUUCCCCUUAAUCAGUUCUGAUCAGGAUUUUUUUUUUUUUUUGAUAUUCAUUAAAACUAAGAACUCAACCAACAGGUGAUGCACUUUUUAAUCUACUGGAACAGCCCAGCCCAUGUUUUUUCAUCAUGUUAUAGUGUUGGAAGAAAAAUGAAAACCUAAAAAAAAA